Molecule: ribosomal RNA, 329 nt
Filed under: uncultured eukaryote
Lineage: Eukaryota
Description: partial 18S ribosomal RNA
Rfam family: Eukaryotic small subunit ribosomal RNA
Source: RNAcentral
CCCUUAGAUGUUCUGGGCCGCACGCGCGCUACACUGACUGGUGCAACAAGUGUCUGACCUUGGCUCGAGAGGCCUGGGCAACCUUUGAACGCCAGUCGUGCUGGGGAUAGAUUCUUGCAAUUAUUAAUCUUCAACGAGGAAUUCCUAGUAAACGCAAGUCGUCAGCUUGCAUUGAUUACGUCCCUGCCCUUUGUACACACCGCCCGUCGCUACUACCGAUUGAAUGGCUUAGUGAGGUCUUGGGAUUGGCUUCGGGGAGCCGGCAACGGCACCCUGUCGCUGAGAACUUGAUCAAACUUGGUCAUUUAGAGGAAGUAAAANUCGUAACA